Molecule: ribosomal RNA, 492 nt
Filed under: uncultured bacterium
Lineage: Bacteria
Description: partial 16S ribosomal RNA
Rfam family: Bacterial small subunit ribosomal RNA
Source: RNAcentral
AGUGAACGCUGGCGGUAGGCCUAACACAUGCAAGUCGAACGGCAGCACAGUAAGAGUUUGCUCUUACGGGUGGCGAGUGGCGGACGGGUGACGUAUACAUCGGAACCUACUUUUUCGUGGGGGAUAACGUAGGGAAACUUAUGCUAAUACCGCAUACGACCUACGGGUGAAAGCAGGGGAUCUUCGGACCUUGCGCGAUUGAAUGAGCCGAUGUCGGAUUAGCUAGUUGGCGGGGUAAAGGCCCACCUAGGCGACGAUCCGUAGCUGGUCUGAGAGGAUGAUCAGCCACACUGGAACUGAGACACGGUCCAGACUCCUACGGUAGGCAGCAGUGGGGAAUAUGGGACAAUGGGCGCAAGCCUGAUCCAGCCAGACCGCGUGGGUGAAGAAGGCCUUCGGGUUGUAAAGCCCUUUUGUUGGGAAAGAAAAGCAGCAGGUUAAUACCCCGCUGUUCUGACGGUACCCAAAGAAUAAGCACCGGCUAACUUCGUG